AUCCUGUCCAGCUACACCUAUAGCGAUAUAGGGUCGGAAAGCCACGGAUCUCCUUGAGAUGGCCGGGUUGCUAAG
RNAcentral lists this non-coding RNA (75 nucleotides) under Noviherbaspirillum sp. Root189. RNAcentral's name for it is "c-di-GMP-I riboswitch aptamer". It matches the Rfam family "c-di-GMP-I riboswitch aptamer". From Rfam's summary of the family: GEMM was predicted in a large-scale screen for bacterial structured RNA regulatory elements. Genes associated with GEMM are involved in a diverse array of functions, including chemotaxis regulation, signal transduction, secretion and chitin. The record is from Rfam by way of RNAcentral. Lineage: Bacteria; Pseudomonadati; Pseudomonadota; Betaproteobacteria; Burkholderiales; Oxalobacteraceae. RNAcentral also lists the same sequence under 1 other name.